CAGCAGCCGCGGUAAUACGUAGGGUGCAAGCGUUAAUCGGAAUUACUGGGCGUAAAGCGUGCGCAGGCGGUGUUGUAAGACUGAUGUGAAAUCCCCGGGCUCAACCUGGGAACUGCAUUGGUGACUGCAACGCUGGAGUGCGGCAGAGGGGGAUGGAAUUCCGCGUGUAGCAGUGAAAUGCGUAGAUAUGCGGAGGAACACCGAUGGCGAAGGCAACCCCCUGGGCCUGCACUGACGCUCAUGCACGAAAGCGUGGGGAGCAAACAGGAUUAGAUACCCCCGUAGUCCCUGUCUCUUAUAC
This 301-nucleotide ribosomal RNA is filed under the name uncultured bacterium. Its description in RNAcentral is "partial 16S ribosomal RNA". It matches the Rfam family "Bacterial small subunit ribosomal RNA", at positions 509 to 807 of the family's 1533-position model. The record is from RNAcentral.